UGUGACAAGAAAUAACAAUACAGGACUUUUUGGUUUUGUAAUUGGAAUGAGUUAAGUAUAAACCCCUUUACAAGUAUCAAUUGGAGGGCAAGUCUGGUGCCAGCAGCCGCGGUAAUUCCAGCUCCAAUAGCGUAUAUUAAAGUUGUUGCAGUUAAAAAGCUCGUAGUUGGAUUUCUGUUAAUAAUUUAUAUAAAAUAUUUUGAUGAAUAUUUAUAUAAUAUUAACAUAAUUCAUAUUACUAUAUUUUUUAGUAUAUGAAAUUUUACUUUGAGAAAAUUAGAGUGCUUAAAGCAGGA
This 296-nucleotide ribosomal RNA is filed under the name Cryptosporidium parvum. RNAcentral's name for it is "partial small subunit ribosomal RNA". It matches the Rfam family "Eukaryotic small subunit ribosomal RNA", at positions 466 to 785 of the family's 1831-position model. Lineage: Eukaryota; Apicomplexa; Conoidasida; Eucoccidiorida; Cryptosporidiidae. The record is from RNAcentral.